This is a long non-coding RNA of Chelonia mydas (Green sea turtle), 88 nucleotides long. RefSeq lists it as uncharacterized. The transcript is spliced from 3 exons. NCBI's taxonomy places the organism in Eukaryota, Metazoa, Chordata, Testudines, Cheloniidae. The record is from RefSeq and is a predicted model, not a curated record.
AAGUCACUUCACGGCUCUGUCACUCAGUUUCUCUGCCUGUAAAACAAGGAUAAUGAUGCUUCCUUUGUAAAGCACUUUUGUAGAAAAG